Gopherus flavomarginatus (Mexican gopher tortoise) is the source of this 2885-nucleotide RNA transcript. It is a transcript of the gene named ubiquitin protein ligase E3 component n-recognin 7, with no coding region annotated. The record is from RefSeq and is a predicted model, not a curated record. Lineage: Eukaryota; Metazoa; Chordata; Testudines; Testudinidae. The transcript has 12 exons.
CCGUGUCACGCGCUGAACCCUUGUUUUGCGGUCUCCCGCGUCACGUGACGUGUUGGCAGUUCCGCUUCCGUUGUGGCGGCGCCCCCCAGCGUUGGGUCUCGUUUCCCGCCUUGCGCCGUGUCUGCCUCUGUCGGAUCCCGCGAUGGAGGCUGCGGCCGGGGGCGCUGAGCCCGCGGGCGGAUGCGCGGCGGCCCCGGAGGAGCCCGUGGUCUCCCUGGCUGACGUGCUGGCGGAGAACGAGGAGCUCGAGAAGGAGGCGCGGGCGGUGCUUGGUGGGAGCGAUCACGAGCGCUGCAGCUACUCCCAGGGUGCUGUAAAAAGACAAGCCUUGUAUGCCUGCAGUACUUGCACCCCACCAGGAGAAGAACCAGCAGGAAUCUGUUUAGCCUGCAGUUAUGAAUGUCAUGGCACGCACAAGUUAUUUGAACUAUAUACAAAAAGAAACUUCCGCUGUGACUGUGGAAACAGCAAAUUCAAAAAUUUGCAGUGCAAGCUAUUUCCAGAAAAGGGAAAAGUGAAUUCAGGCAAUAAGUAUAAUCACAACUUCUAUGGAUUAUACUGUGUUUGUAAAAGACCGUAUCCUGAUCCUGAAGAUGAGAUCCCAGAUGAAAUGAUCCAGUGCAUAGUUUGUGAAGACUGGUUCCAUGGAAGGCACCUUGGGGCAGUUCCCCCUGAGAGUGGGGACUUCCAUGAGAUGGUGUGCCAGGCCUGCAUGAAUUGCUGUUCUUUCCUUUGGGCGUAUACUUCACAGUUAGCAGUUCCUACUCUGACCAAAGUGACCUCACUUGAAGAUGAAAGGAUUGGGCUGAAUGUCAAGGAAACUGAAGAACAGAACAGAGAAAUCAAAAAGGAAAGUGGAGGAGAUCACCAAGGGAAGAUCAAGGAGGAAGAGCAAGUAGAGCAGUAUAAUGAGCCAUCUACUAGUUCUGGCUCUAAGUGUCCAGAGACAGUUACAAAAAGUGAUGAACCGGUCUGUAAGCUGCGAGAACUCCAGACCAAGCAGUCUCUAAAGAAGGAUACCGCCACCUUUUGGCCAUCUAACUGGCGGAGUAAAUUGUGCACAUGCAAAGACUGUUUAAAAAUGUAUUCAGAACUGGAUAUCCAAUUCCUGAUUGAUGAAUGUGACACUGUCUUGGCCUAUGAGAAUAAAGGUACAAGUGACCAGGAAACAGACAGAAGAGAUCCUUUAAUGGACACGCUUAAUAGCAUGAACAGAGUCCAGCAAGUAGAACUCAUCUGUGAAAAAUGCAUCCAUUUUUUCUGACCUGUCAAAACAAAUUGAUCAAAUUGUGGCUGAAGAAAUAAUAUCCUAAAUUGACCGUGAGACUGAAGAGUGCAGCUUUUUUGCUUGUGAAGUAGAUGAAACAACUGACAUUUCUCAAUUAAGCCAGCUUCCACUUGUGUUAUGCUACGUGGACAAGAAGGGGCAAACAAAGGAACGGUUCAUGGGUUUUAAAAAUGUCAGUGCAAAUCGAACCGUAGUUGCUUUGAAGCAGGUUCUGAAUUCAGUGCUGUUAAAAUACAACUACAAAAGAAAACUUGUCUCAUUCAUAUGAUGGCGCUGUACUGUUUACUAGUGAGCUGGGAGGUCUGCAAGCCCUAAUUAAAAAAGAGGCUCCACAAGCUCUGUUUGUGCAUGGUUUUGCCCACAAAUUAGAUUUAGUUCUCCAGCAAGGGGCGCAGUGUAUUAAAGAAACCCGUGGCUUUUUUGCAACCUUGGAAGGCUUCUCCACAUUUUUUACAUGCUCAGGCAAACACAGUGAACUGCUGGAUUGAAUUGUGGGCCAAAGGAUACCUUCCCACUGUGCAGUUUGAUGGACAUCCAAACAGCAGAGUCCUACAUACUAUUGUCUGGGAAAGAGAGAAACUUCGCAAAGUAUUUCAGGAGAUUGUCAGUGCCAGUGGUUGGGAUGGAGAAUCUCUGUGACAAGCCAUAGGAUACCUUACAAAACUAAACCACUUCCAGUUUCUUUUCUUGCCAUACGCCUACUGUAACAUCUUCAGCAUCACUGCCAUUCUCGUGAUGUUCUUCACAAAAAGGCUGUUGAUGUAGAUUACUGCAAUUUGCAAGUUCAAUUAACAAUCACAAGGGUUGGUGAUCUGCAUAAAGAAGAAGUGUUCAAAGAAGUGUUUAAUUCUGCAGCCACUACCCUCACUGACUUACCUUCACCUCCAAAGAAGUGUAGGCUGGAUUUGGAAGAUGGAUUCUCUGAAGAUGGUCAGAAACUGUAUUUGCAACUAUACAAUGAAAUCACUGAUAACAUCAUUCUGCAGCUGGCUCUCAGGUUUGUAAACAUAAAGGCCCUCCACUUCAUUGAGCUAUUGGACUCAUCAAGAUUUCCAGCUUUCAGGAAACACUUCCCUACAGAUGCUUUUACCUCACUCUCCAGUUCUUAUGGCAGUUACUUUGAUUUGGAUCGUCUCAAGAAUGAGUUUGGUGUCAUUUUCAAAGAUGAGCAGUUUCAGAAUUGUUCUGUUAGCAAUGUGCUGCGCUUAAUCAAUGAAACUGGGCUCUGAAGUGCUUAAGGAAGUGUACCACUUUUUUUGCUUAGUUGCCACUUUACCAGCAAUAACAGUGUGUGUGAAGAGCGGCUUUUCUUGCCUUAAACACAUCGAGACAUACUUGAGCACAAUGGAUCAGGGUUGUCUCACUGCACUGGCCACAAUAUUAAUUGAAAAAGAACUGUUGUCUUCCCUGGAGAAGCAACCAGCCUGGUACGAUGAUGAUAUUGCAUGCUUUGCUUCAAAAAAAGAAAGAUUGAUUGAUUGAUCUUCACCAUAUGAAUAAGAAUACAACGACCUAAAGACAGAACUGACUGAUUAUCUCAGGCGAUUUGCAGAUGAAGGAACAGUUGUUAAAAGAGAGGACAUUCAGCAAUUCUUUG